UGGAAAGUUGGGGGUGAAAUCCCGAGGCUCAACCUCGGAACUGCCUUCAAAACUCCCAGUCUAGAGUUCGAGAGAGGUGAGUGGAAUUCCAAGUGUAGAGGUGAAAUUCGUAGAUAUUUGGAGGAACACCAGUGGCGAAGGCGGCUCACUGGCUCGAUACUGACGCUGAGGUGCGAAAGUGUGGGGAGCAAACAGGAUUAGAUACCCUGGUAGUCCACACCGUAAACGAUGAAUGCCAGUCGUCGGGCAGUAUACUGUUCUGUGACACACCUAACGGAUUAAGCAUUCCGCCUGGGGAGUACGGUCGCAAGAUUAAAACUCAAAGGAAUUGACGGGG
This 337-nucleotide ribosomal RNA is filed under the name uncultured bacterium. RNAcentral's name for it is "bacterial SSU rRNA". It matches the Rfam family "Bacterial small subunit ribosomal RNA", at positions 581 to 918 of the family's 1533-position model. The record is from RNAcentral.